Long non-coding RNA from Astyanax mexicanus (Mexican tetra), 1395 nucleotides. RefSeq lists it as uncharacterized. The record is from RefSeq and is a predicted model, not a curated record. Lineage: Eukaryota; Metazoa; Chordata; Actinopteri; Characiformes; Acestrorhamphidae. The transcript has 3 exons.
CUGUGUGUGACUGUGUGUGACUGUGUGUGACUGUGCGUAAAGAUGCAAGACUGUGCUUGAUGUGAGACUCUGCGUAAAGAUGUGAGAGACUGUGUGUAAGACUGUGCAAAACUGCUUUUAAGACUGUGCGUGAGACUGUGCUUGAGACUUUGCAUGAGACUGUGCGUGAAGAUGUGAGACUCUGGGUGAAGAUGCAAGAUGCGUGAGAGUGUGCAAGACUGUGUGAGACUGCGUUAGACUUUGUGAAAAUGAGUAAGAAUCUGCGAUAAGGUUUGAACUGCGUGAGACUGUGCGUGGGACUGUUUGAGACUCUGCAUGAAGAUGCGAGACAGUGUGAGACUGCGUGAAAAAAUGCGAGACUGUGAGACUGUUUUUGAGACUGUGUGUGAGACUGCAUUAGACUGUAUAUGAAGGUGAAAGACUCGGUGAGACUGUGCGAGACUGUUUUUGAGACUGUGUGAGACUGUGUGUGAGACUGCAUUAGACUGUGUGUGAAAGGGCAAGACUCUCGGUGAGACUUUGCGAGACUGUUUUUGAGACUGUGUGAGACUGCAUUAGACUGUGUGUGAAGGGGCAAGACUCUCGGUGAGACUGUGUGAGACUGCGUGUGAGACUGUGUGAGACUGUGUGAGACUGCAUUAGACUGUGUGUGAAAGUGAAAGACUGUGUAAAGCUGUGUAAAGCUUUGUGACUGAGUGAAGGUGCGAGACUGUGUGAGACUGCAAAGCUUUUUGAAACUGCAAGACAGCAUUAGACUCUGUAUGAAGGUACGAUACUAGGGAUGCAAAUGAUUAAUCGACUUUAGAUUAAUUGUCGAUCAAGAGGUUGCUCGAAUAAAAUGUAUUACUCGCGAUUAAUCGCUAGAGGGCGCUACUGUAGUAACUUGAACAGAGCGUGAGAACGAGAGGUGAACACGACUCGCGGGAGACCAGGGUUGAAAACAAAAUGAAGCGGGCGAAAAUAAGUGCGGUGUGGGACCAUUUCAACAGUGUUAAUUUAGGCAAAGAAGUCAAAUGUUCUCUGUGUAAUGCGGUAUUGAAAUACAACAGUUCCACUAGCUCACUCAGUUAUCAUUUGAACACCGUCACAGUUUCACUGAGAGCGCGAGCGUGUGAUGAGAGAAGGGCGGAGGACAUUACAGAGAGGAUAUGCAGCAUGAUCAAGAGAGAUUUGAUGCCAAUCAAGACAGUUGACGGUACAGGGUUUCAGGAUCUCAUUGCAUUGAGGAUUGUUGAGGAUUUCCUAAUUAAUAGCCUAGAUGCAGUUUCUUCAUAAUCUAUAGGCUCAAUAAUAAUCUGUUUGGCUCUCUAUUUAAUUUCUUCUAUUCUUUUUUUUUUUUUUUUUAAUAUGUCUAAUGGUACAAAAACGCAAAAACUGAUUUUUAUUUAUUUCUUU